UGGGGAAUAUUGGGCAAUGGAGGAAACUCUGACCCAGCAACGCCGCGUGAAUGAUGAAGGUCUUCGGAUUGUAAAGUUCUUUUCUAAGGGAAGAAGAAAGUGACGGUACCUUAGGAAUAAGCCUCGGCUAACUACGUGCCAGCAGCCGCGGUAAUACGUAGGAGGCGAGCGUUAUCCGGAAUGACUGGGCGUAAAGGGUGCGUAGGUGGUUUGGCAAGUUAGUAGCGUAACUCCAAGGCUCAACCUUGGAACUACUACUAAAACUGUUGGACUUGAGUGCAGGAGGGGCAACCGGAAUUCCUAGUGUAGCGGUGGAAUGCGUAGAUAUUAGGAGGAACACCAGUGGCGAAGGCGGGUUGCUAGACUGUAACUGACACUGAGGCACGAAAGCGUGGGGAGCAAACA
RNAcentral lists this ribosomal RNA (405 nucleotides) under uncultured Eubacteriales bacterium. RNAcentral describes it as "bacterial SSU rRNA". It matches the Rfam family "Bacterial small subunit ribosomal RNA", at positions 355 to 774 of the family's 1533-position model. Lineage: Bacteria; Bacillati; Bacillota; Clostridia; Eubacteriales. The record is from RNAcentral.